Capsicum annuum is the source of this 745-nucleotide long non-coding RNA. RefSeq lists it as uncharacterized. Lineage: Eukaryota; Viridiplantae; Streptophyta; Magnoliopsida; Solanales; Solanaceae. The transcript is spliced from 2 exons. The record is from RefSeq and is a predicted model, not a curated record.
UUUACUCUUUGCUUAAAUUUCCCUUUUUAUCCUUAAGUUCAACUACUCUGACAUUAGAACCCUAAUCUAUUACAAUCCCUCUUCUAUCAAAGCAACCUUGUCCUUAAGGUUGCAUCUGAGGCACGAACUAAGGGAAGCAAAUAUAGAUGGAACUCCAGUCCUCCCAAGUAGAUUCGUUCAUCCCAAGAUUCGCCUACUGGACCAACACCCAAAUUGAUGUUGUGUUGUUGACCUUCACUGUUCGCCAUCAUAAAAGGGCCAAUGAUUUCAUGAGUAUUUGUCCUUCACCAUUACAGCUAGGUGACUAUUGUUGGGAGCCUAUAUCUAGACCUAUGUUUCUUGAUCUAACAAAUAUGAAAUAUCAAGUGGAUCUGCGGCCUCAGUGAAAACUCCAAACUGUACACCAUUGUUACUUUCUUUACCAGUCCAACCACCAAAUUAUCCAGCUUGCAUAUUGGGUGGGGCGCCAAUAUGUCAUCUCUGUUUGGUCCCAACCUUUUCAUUAGCAUAUCCAAUUUCUUUUCAAGGUGAUCAAUAUUCACAUCAGUGGCCUUCGCCUUCUAAAAUACAACUGCUAAAUAAGAAGUGAACCAAGAUUUCAACUUUUUCAAGCCUUCCUUCAUGGCUUUGGAUCAUAUUUUUGUAAUCGUCAUUUGUAGGGCCAAAAUCUUGCUUUGAUAUCAAUUUGUAAUGUACUUAAGAACUCAAUACACAAUUAGGGUUAAAUUAUAGUUUAUUCCAUCAA